Molecule: unclassified non-coding RNA, 329 nt
Filed under: soil metagenome
Description: partial contains 5.8S ribosomal RNA, internal transcribed spacer 2, and large subunit ribosomal RNA
Rfam family: 5.8S ribosomal RNA (bases 1-120)
Source: RNAcentral
GAUGAAGAACGUAGCGAAAUGCGAUAAGUAAUGCGAAUUGCAGAUCUCAGUGAGUCAUCGAAUCUUUGAACGCACAUUGCGCCCCCUGGUAUUCCGGGGGGCAUGCCUGUUCGAGCGUCAUUACAACCCUCAAGCUCUGCUUGGUGUUGGGCCCCGCCGCCCCGGCGGGCCCUAAAAUCAGUGGCGGUGCCGUCCGGCUCCGAGCGUAGUAAUUCUUCUCGCUCUGGAGGUCCGGGUGUGUGCUCGCCAGCAACCCCCAAUUUUUUUCAGGUUGACCUCGGAUCAGGUAGGGAUACCCGCUGAACUUAAGCAUAUCAAUAAGCGGAGGA